UGAAUUUAGCAUGUUUCCUAAGUAUCUGCAAACAUAUUGUGGUAUUUUUAAGCUUUAGUGCAGAUCAAAAAUUACAAAUAGCAUCUAUAAA
This is a long non-coding RNA of Sinocyclocheilus rhinocerous, 91 nucleotides long. RefSeq lists it as uncharacterized. The record is from RefSeq and is a predicted model, not a curated record. Lineage: Eukaryota; Metazoa; Chordata; Actinopteri; Cypriniformes; Cyprinidae. The transcript is spliced from 4 exons.